GGGGAUAUAGCUCAGUUGGGAGAGCGCUUGCAUGGCAUUCAAGAGGUCGUCGGUUCGAUCCCGAUUAUCUCCACCA
RNAcentral lists this transfer RNA (76 nucleotides) under Pasteurella multocida. RNAcentral's name for it is "tRNA-Ala". It matches the Rfam family "tRNA". Rfam says of the family: Transfer RNA (tRNA) molecules are approximately 80 nucleotides in length. Their secondary structure includes four short double-helical elements and three loops (D, anti-codon, and T loops). Further hydrogen bonds mediate the characteristic L-shaped molecular structure. tRNAs have two regions of fundamental functional importance: the anti-codon, which is responsible for specific mRNA codon recognition, and the 3' end, to which the tRNAs corresponding amino acid is attached (by aminoacyl-tRNA synthetases). tRNAs cope with the degeneracy of the genetic code in two manners: having more than one tRNA (with a specific anti-codon) for a particular amino acid; and 'wobble' base-pairing, i.e. permitting non-standard base-pairing at the 3rd anti-codon position. The record is from RNAcentral. RNAcentral also lists the same sequence under 1 other name. Lineage: Bacteria; Pseudomonadati; Pseudomonadota; Gammaproteobacteria; Pasteurellales; Pasteurellaceae.